AAUGGCUCACCAAGGCAACGAUGCGUAGCCGACCUGAGAGGGUGAUCGGCCACACUGGGACUGAGACACGGCCCAGACUCCUACGGGAGGCAGCAGUAGGGAAUCUUCCGCAAUGGACGAAAGUCUGACGGAGCAACGCCGCGUGAGUGAUGAAGGUUUUCGGAUCGUAAAGCUCUGUUGUUAGGGAAGAACAAGUACCGUUCGAAUAGGGCGGUACCUUGACGGUACCUAACCAGAAAGCCACGGCUAACUACGUGCCAGCAGCCGCGGUAAUACGUAGGUGGCAAGCGUUGUCCGGAAUUAUUGGGCGUAAAGGGCUCGCAGGCGGUUUCUUAAGUCUGAUGUGAAAGCCCCCGGCUCAACCGGGGAGGGUCAUUGGAAACUGGGGAACUUGAGUGCAGAAGAGGAGAGUGGAAUUCCACGUGUAGCGGUGAAAUGCGUAGAGAUGUGGAGGAACACCAGUGGCGAAGGCGACUCUCUGGUCUGUAACUGACGCUGAGGAGCGAAAGCGUGGGGAGCGAACAGGAUUAGAUACCCUGGU
RNAcentral lists this ribosomal RNA (541 nucleotides) under uncultured Bacillus sp. Its description in RNAcentral is "bacterial SSU rRNA". It matches the Rfam family "Bacterial small subunit ribosomal RNA", at positions 259 to 791 of the family's 1533-position model. Lineage: Bacteria; Bacillati; Bacillota; Bacilli; Caryophanales; Bacillaceae. The record is from RNAcentral.